CAGAAGAAGGCCAAUGUGAGGCUAAGGGUUGAGUGGAAGCUGGAGCCCAGAGCAUCCUGAGGGUAGUGGCAGCCGUCAAGACAACAUCUUCAAGAAAUUUCCAGAGAAAGGACUUCAUGCUGUCCAGAAACUGCAGAGUGGUGGCAAUGAGUGAAGUGAGCUGACUCCUUCUGAACACCUCAACCCCACCUCCCCAAACUGGCCAAGGUUUGGGCUUCCAGACCGCCUAAGGUCCUAUCUUGGCUGGUGAGAAGGGCUCCAGGACACACAGCUCCUGAAGAUGGCAUGUUAGAUGCUGGGCUGGGCACUGGGAUGAAAACAAAACACAAAACAGGUCUUGUCCCCAAGGGAGCCUGUUAUGUAAACAAAUAACCAAGGUACACUGUGUAAAGUGCAAUAAUAGAUGUACGUGUGAGAUUUGGUGGCAGCACAAAGUGGGAGAAAGAGGGGCAGAAUUAUAAUUUAGGGCUUUAGCUCAGAGGUGGCCCAAGGGCGUGUCUGCCAGCAGGAGUCAUCUUUCCUGUGAGCUGAAGCAGAGAAAGAAGCUGGGAAUUCUAGUCUAGAAGGACGUUAGGUUCCAGGAUGAAAAAUAUCAAUGCUAAGAAAAUGUCAAAUGUUCUAGAAAUCAUAAAGUUUACACCUCUAAGUCCUGUGUUGGGGUGUGGGUUUGGAUAGUUUCAACCUGGGCUUAGGAAGGUGGUGAGAGAGGGUGGAAGAGGGUGUUUAGGAGGUUGUUAUGGUCAGUGGGCUCCAAGACCCAGGAAAGCUAGCGGGAAAGAGACCCAGCCUUGUCUACUAUCUCUGGGCUAGGCCCACAGCAGCCAUGCUGCCUCAUCUCCAAGGAGGACAGGAAGGCUUGGACCAGCCCAGAUGCUCCUCUCUCUAAACCCCUCAAGUUUAUCUAAGCCAGCGCUGGGAUUAUCCCAGUGGGAUUCCAGGUCUCCACCCAGGCCACUUCCUCCUGCCAAAGUCUGCAAUGAGCCUGGCUGGGCAAGUGAGUCUUUGGCAACUUGCACUCAUUCUUCGCGGAUAAACUGUGUGGUCUCUGAAACUCUGUCUUCUCCCAAGAUUAGCCCAGAAAGUUUUGGUAGGGGAAGUGGGGGCACUGUGGACACUGGCACAGCUCUAUUUGCCCCCUGUAGCCCAGUAGCCUUCAGUCAUGCCCACCCCAUGGCACUGUGGACACAGGUGUGCUUUCCCGUGGUCACAGAAUGCUGGUGUCACAUGGGACACCCCUGCUUUGCCAAUCUUUAAUUUUAUGCCCAGGCAACUUCCCUCUGUGCAGGCUAAUCCCAGAUGGUGGUUUUAGACAGCUGUCCUCAGCCCAGCCAAGGGCAAGGGAGAGGGAAGGGCACCCAGGCCUGGGUGUUCGGUAUGCAGU
Hipposideros armiger (great roundleaf bat) is the source of this 1381-nucleotide long non-coding RNA. RefSeq lists it as uncharacterized. Lineage: Eukaryota; Metazoa; Chordata; Mammalia; Chiroptera; Hipposideridae. The record is from RefSeq and is a predicted model, not a curated record. The transcript is spliced from 4 exons.